AUGCUCACUUGGGCAGCAUGUAUACCAAAAUUGGAAUGAUAGAGAAGAUGAACAUGGCCCCUGCACAAGAACCAACUGAGGCCCCAAAUGUUGUA
RNAcentral lists this small nuclear RNA (95 nucleotides) under Ochotona princeps (American pika). Lineage: Eukaryota; Metazoa; Chordata; Mammalia; Lagomorpha; Ochotonidae. The record is from RNAcentral.